RNAcentral lists this ribosomal RNA (112 nucleotides) under Eutrema salsugineum. RNAcentral's name for it is "5.8S ribosomal RNA". It matches the Rfam family "5.8S ribosomal RNA", at positions 47 to 154 of the family's 154-position model. From Rfam's summary of the family: 5.8S ribosomal RNA (5.8S rRNA) is a component of the large subunit of the eukaryotic ribosome. It is transcribed by RNA polymerase I as part of the 45S precursor that also contains 18S and 28S rRNA. Lineage: Eukaryota; Viridiplantae; Streptophyta; Magnoliopsida; Brassicales; Brassicaceae. The record is from Rfam by way of RNAcentral.
AAGAUAAAAUUGCGAUACUUGGUGUGAAUUGCAGAAUCCCGUGAACCAUCGGGUCUUUAAACGCAAGUUGCGCCCAAGCCUUCUGGCCGAGGGCACGUCUGCCUGGGUGUCA